ACAGAGGAUCGUUCCGUCAGUCGGGUCUCGGCCGCCGUCAACGUCAAUACGACGGCGCACGAGCUGAUCGCCUCGGCUCGGAAGCACCGAGCAUCCUCGCGGUACGGGCCACCAAUAUCAAACAUCUUAUCCCCCAGUUCCCUUCACCUAACCUCCCCUCUCAACCCAACCACCACCUAAUCCAACGAAUUCGCGGCCAUUCCCCGAAUCCUGUCGUCGAAUCGGCCAAUGUUUGCCAAUGUUUGAUCCAAGUGUCGCAACCUGUCUCCUCCAGUGUCUGUGCGUCUCUCCGUUCACUUCUCUGAAGGCAGCCUCGCGAACCGUCACAUCUCUCGCUCGUCGUGAGAUUAUCACGGCUCCUUGCUCCGCCUCUCUCCUCCUGCAUGCAAAGUGGGGUGAAAGGACGCGGAAGGCGGUUCGAUAGGUAGGGUAGAACACACAGGUAACCUCCUGCGACGGAGGGAAUGCGGAUGCGGCAUCGGUGAUCCCUGUUUCGAAGCGGGGUGGUGAAGCUCGGUUGCGGUCGAUGUGUUUUUGCGGUUAAUUUUCGGUUGGACACGGUUCGAUGCUUUUCCGUGGUAAUUGUCUCUCUCUCUCUCUCUGUCUGCCGGUUUAUCGGUUUUCAUGGUCGAAAUUGUUGGCAUAACACGGUGUCGGUGCUCAACGAUGUCGAGUGAUCGCGUCGCUUUGUUUCGAGUGGACAGAGUUCCAGUUUGCGGGCGGAAAACGGAUCUUUCUCGUUGAAUCGGGAAACGGUGAGGCGUUUCGUUUCGAGAAAAAUUCGAGAGCGUUUUAGAACAACGUCGAGGAUUCGUUGGAUAAUAGAGCAGGAACGUAAGAAUCGAGUGGUCCCUGCCACGUGGCGCCGGUUUCUUUUUCCUUUUCUCGACAAACUUGGGCUAGCAAUUUUUCUAAAAAUUCGACCAAUUAAAUCUUCACGCUAGGAAACUAACCACCGCGAAUGUAAAUAUUAUCCGAUAAAUCUAACCUAACUUUUCGAUCAAACUCGAUCUCAAACAACUUCUGAUCUCAUCUUCAUCUCGUUCUCGUCUCGAACAACCGCGGCAGGUUGUCAUCAGACGCACAGACACGGAAUAAAGACAAACUUCUUCUCCAACCCCUUUCCUUUUCCACCCUACCCCCCGAUAUCUCGAUAGCCGGUGGUGUGCGCGAUCGUGGCGGGAGUGCGUGUGGUGCGUCAGUGUGGCAUUUCUGUGACCAGAUGCAGUGGGCUGGCCCAUAUACUCUGCCCGUUCUCGUCGUGUCCUGGUGAGGACGCAGCCGGAAGCGAGGCACGCGCGCACACACACACACACAAACCAUCGAAGAGAGAGCGGAUGCUUCUCGAAAGGAGCGAGUCCUUCCACUGUCGACAAUCAGUUCCCGUUGCACACUCGCGCGAGAACAACGCCAAUCAGCCAAGGAUCUUCUCCUUCCCUCCUGAACCUGAAAGCUGAAAUCAAACUUCGGAUCAUCCGUGCCUCGUCGCUUUCCACCGCACGCGCGCGCGCGCACGCACGCACGAAAUCUUUCCUUCCGUCUGGCAAUUCUCUCGCGCCGGUCGAACGUGGCAACCACCGAGGCGGACCGCUCUCCUUCCCAAGAAGAAUCAAUCCGUGCGAUGAACGACCGUUGGAAAAGUUUGAGGUUUCGUGAUGGGAUCGGGAUCCGUCGGAGGCUGUUCAGUUGAAAAGAUUUAUCGGGCAGGGAGAGGGGGGAGACCGAUAUAUAGCCAGCGGGUGAGAUCGAGUUUGUGGAAAAUCGAUGGAGAGAGAGAGAAGGAGAGGCGAUUAAAAGGAGCGGUGAAAAGGAUGUAGUAGUUGUAGUCAGCAGUCGUAGUAGCAGUCGAAGGAAAUCGAUAUAGUUUCCAGCACGUGGCUGGCUUUAAACUGGCGGUUUAGUUUACGCCUAUAUACACUGAUAACCUCGCUUAAAAGAAAAAUAAAGAAGAAGAAGAAGGAGGAGGAGGAAUAAUUCGUGCGAGUGUCGUUUGAUCGAGUGAAUCUCUCGAAAAAUCUUCUUUUCCCUUUACGACGUUCUUUUUUCUUUUUCUUUUCUUUUUUCUUUUUUCAUGUUAACUGGGAGCACAAGAUAGAGAAACAUUAGUAAGGAAGUAAUAUAGCAGAAGGUGAAAAUCGUGGUGUGCCGAUCGUGUUCUCUCUCGACAAUCCCCAAGCCAGGGAUCUCUCCUCUCUCGGGAAGAUCAGUGAAAAAACAGUGUUGAAAAUUGUGAAGUGCAAGCUUGUUAAUCGGAGAAAGAUCGAGAAAGUGAGAAAGAAGAAGGAAGAUCUUUGAAGAAUUGUUUCGAGGAGUCUUAGGAGUCUGGCGCCUUCAUCGAGAUCCCAAACAGGGAUCAUUGAGAAUUUUGUACGCGAAUUGAGAGCAAAGGCCUAUAUUAUAUCAAAUUUUCAUCGUCCAUCCUUCAUACUUUCUCGCCUUAAUCAUCGGUUCGAUAGAAAAACCGAAUAUUUCGAAAGAAGCUUGGUCGUCGAGGAGCAUAGGCGGGAUAAGAAAUCGAUGUGAUAAGGGAAGAGGAGGAAGAGUUUGAAAAUAAUUCGAUUAACUUCGAAUCCGGCAACCCUCUUUAUCGAAGUAUCGAGUUGAAAGGGUUGAAAGGGAGGGAUUCUCGCGGCUUAUCUCGCUCUAAUCCGAAAGGAAACUUUUCAAAUUAUCCUAGUCGAAUAAACUGGGACUGAGAAUACCUGAACGGUAUUCAAAAAAACCAUCAUCGUGAAAAGGAAGCAACUGGAACGCUGUAACGUAAAUUAAAUAAUUGUUCGAGACAAUCCAAAGAUAUCCUCGAAUCGAGGCCAGAUCUAAAAACUAAAAAUUAAACUAAAAUAGGAUCAUUUCUAUAGACGUAUUUAAUAGAAUAGAUGUUGGAUCUCGACUUUCAAGGGGCUCAACAACUUCUAGACUACUUUUUCCAACCAAAAGCCAUCCAUCCUCGAAUUUCUAGCAAAGCUAUUUCAAACGAUACACUUUUAUAAAUCCUAGACAAGGAAUUCUCAAAGAAUUCGACCAUCAAGCUGGACCAGGUCGACCAACUCCUCUUGGUAAAUUUUUUUAAAGGCCAAAUCCGACUCAGCCUAUUAAUCGUCACUUGGCAACUCGUGGGAUCUUAGUUUCUCAGGCCUCUGAAACUACUCACUCCAUUACUAAAGCUUUAAAAAAA
RNAcentral lists this long non-coding RNA (3175 nucleotides) under Apis mellifera (honey bee). Its description in RNAcentral is "uncharacterized LOC113218944". Lineage: Eukaryota; Metazoa; Arthropoda; Insecta; Hymenoptera; Apidae. The record is from RNAcentral.